Molecule: ribosomal RNA, 253 nt
Filed under: uncultured bacterium
Lineage: Bacteria
Description: partial 16S ribosomal RNA
Rfam family: Bacterial small subunit ribosomal RNA
Source: RNAcentral
AACGUAGGAGGCGAGCGUUAUCCGGAUUUACUGGGCGUAAAGCGUGCGCAGGCGGCUUCGUGAGUCGGAUGUGAAAGCUCCUGGCUUAACUGGGAGAGGCCAUUCGAUACUGCGAGGCUUGAGGUUGGGAGAGGGGUGCGGAAUUCCCGGUGUAGUGGUGGAAUGCGUAGAGAUCGGGAGGAACACCUGUGGCGAAGGCGACUACCUGGCCUGUUCUUGACGCUGAGGCGCGAAAGCUAGGGGAGCAAACGGG